AGAGUUUGAUCCUGGCUCAGGAUGAACGCUAGCGGCAGGCUUAAUACAUGCAAGUCGUGGGGCAGCACAGUGUAGCAAUACAUGGGUGGCGACCGGCAAACGGGUGCGGAACACGUACGCAACCUUCCUUCAAGUGGGGAAUAGCCCAGGGAAACUUGGAUUAAUACCCCGUAAUAUUUCGGAGUGGCAUCACUUUGAUCUUAUAGCUACGGCGCUUGAAGAUGGGCGUGCGACUGAUUAGGUAGUUGGCGGGGUAACGGCCCACCAAGCCUGCGAUCAGUAACUGGUGUGAGAGCACGACCAGUCACACGGGCACUGAGACACGGGCCCGACUCCUACGGGAGGCAGCAGUAAGGAAUAUUGGUCAAUGGACGCAAGUCUGAACCAGCCAUGCCGCGUGGAGGAUGAAGGUCCUCUGGAUUGUAACUUCUUUUAUUUGGGAAGAAACCCACGGUUUCUACUGUGGUUGACGGUACCAGAUGAAUAAGCACCGGCUAACUCCGUGCCAGCAGCCGCGGUAAUACGGAGGGUGCAAGCGUUAUCCGGAUUCACUGGGUUUAAAGGGUGCGUAGGCGGGCAGGUAAGUCAGUGGUGAAAUCUCCGAGCUUAACUUGGAAACUGCCAUUGAUACUAUCUGUCUUGAAUACUGUGGAGGUAAGCGGAAUAUGUCAUGUAGCGGUGAAAUGCUUAGAUAUGACAUAGAACACCUAUUGCGAAGGCAGCUUGCUACACAGAAAUUGACGCUGAGGCACGAAAGCGUGGGGAUCAAACAGGAUUAGAUACCCUGGUAGUCCAA
This 796-nucleotide ribosomal RNA is filed under the name uncultured bacterium. RNAcentral's name for it is "bacterial SSU rRNA". It matches the Rfam family "Bacterial small subunit ribosomal RNA", at positions 8 to 798 of the family's 1533-position model. The record is from RNAcentral.